RNAcentral lists this ribosomal RNA (1139 nucleotides) under Enterococcus faecium. Its description in RNAcentral is "bacterial SSU rRNA". It matches the Rfam family "Bacterial small subunit ribosomal RNA", at positions 1 to 1110 of the family's 1533-position model. Lineage: Bacteria; Bacillati; Bacillota; Bacilli; Lactobacillales; Enterococcaceae. The record is from RNAcentral.
UUUUAUGAGAGUUUGAUCCUGGCUCAGGACGAACGCUGGCGGCGUGCCUAAUACAUGCAAGUCGAACGCUUCUUUUUCCACCGGAGCUUGCUCCACCGGAAAAAGAGGAGUGGCGAACGGGUGAGUAACACGUGGGUAACCUGCCCAUCAGAAGGGGAUAACACUUGGAAACAGGUGCUAAUACCGUAUAACAAUCGAAACCGCAUGGUUUUGAUUUGAAAGGCGCUUUCGGGUGUCGCUGAUGGAUGGACCCGCGGUGCAUUAGCUAGUUGGUGAGGUAACGGCUCACCAAGGCCACGAUGCAUAGCCGACCUGAGAGGGUGAUCGGCCACAUUGGGACUGAGACACGGCCCAAACUCCUACGGGAGGCAGCAGUAGGGAAUCUUCGGCAAUGGACGAAAGUCUGACCGAGCAACGCCGCGUGAGUGAAGAAGGUUUUCGGAUCGUAAAACUCUGUUGUUAGAGAAGAACAAGGAUGAGAGUAACUGUUCAUCCCUUGACGGUAUCUAACCAGAAAGCCACGGCUAACUACGUGCCAGCAGCCGCGGUAAUACGUAGGUGGCAAGCGUUGUCCGGAUUUAUUGGGCGUAAAGCGAGCGCAGGCGGUUUCUUAAGUCUGAUGUGAAAGCCCCCGGCUCAACCGGGGAGGGUCAUUGGAAACUGGGAGACUUGAGUGCAGAAGAGGAGAGUGGAAUUCCAUGUGUAGCGGUGAAAUGCGUAGAUAUAUGGAGGAACACCAGUGGCGAAGGCGGCUCUCUGGUCUGUAACUGACGCUGAGGCUCGAAAGCGUGGGGAGCAAACAGGAUUAGAUACCCUGGUAGUCCACGCCGUAAACGAUGAGUGCUAAGUGUUGGAGGGUUUCCGCCCUUCAGUGCUGCAGCUAACGCAUUAAGCACUCCGCCUGGGGAGUACGACCGCAAGGUUGAAACUCAAAGGAAUUGACGGGGGCCCGCACAAGCGGUGGAGCAUGUGGUUUAAUUCGAAGCAACGCGAAGAACCUUACCAGGUCUUGACAUCCUUUGACCACUCUAGAGAUAGAGCUUCCCCUUCGGGGGCAAAGUGACAGGUGGUGCAUGGUUGUCGUCAGCUCGUGUCGUGAGAUGUUGGGUUAAGUCCCGCAACGAGCGCAACCCUUAUUG